Molecule: long non-coding RNA, 339 nt
Filed under: Phasianus colchicus (ring-necked pheasant)
Lineage: Eukaryota; Metazoa; Chordata; Aves; Galliformes; Phasianidae
Description: lncRNA (ENSPCLG00000000950.1)
Source: RNAcentral
AUUUUAUAGAUGCACAUUAAUGAGGAACACUUGGAUAUGACAUGAAGAUGUAAGAUGGAAAGCACAAAGUUAUAUUUUAAACUCAAUUCCACUUCAAGACUUCAUGGUAUUUUGACCAGAUUUCCCAAUGAGCCUCAGCUUCUGCUGCUUUCACUUAAAAUCAUCUUGACCACUAUUUCACAGGAGCAAAGAAUUCUCUCUCUUAGAGAUAAACUUUAAUUCCAGGAGUGAUUGUCCUCUGCCUAUCCUGAAGUAAUAUUCUCACACUUACUGUUAACUAAGAUGCUUUAAACAGGAGCAUAGGUUCCCAACUGAAAUAAAGAAAUUUCACAUAAAUCA